GACGAACGCUGGCGGCGUGCUUAACACAUGCAAGUCGAACGGAAAGGCCCUGCUUUUGUGGGGGGCUCGAGUGGCGAAAGGGUGAGUAACACGUGAGUAACCUGCCCUUGACUUUGGGAUAACUUCAGGAAAAUGGGGCUAAUACCGGAUAGGAGCUCCUGCUGCAUGGUGGGGGGUGGAAAGUUUCGGCGGUUGGGGAUGGACUCGCGGCUUAUCAGCUUGUUGGUGGGGUAGUGGCUUACCAAGGCUUUGACGGGUAGCCGGCCUGAGAGGGUGACCGGCCACAUUGGGACUGAGAUACGGCCCAGACUCCUACGGGAGGCAGCAGUGGGGAAUAUUGCACAAUGGGCGGAAGCCUGAUGCAGCAACGCCGCGUGCGGGAUGACGGCCUUCGGGUUGUAAACCGCUUUCGCCUGUGACGAAGCGUGAGUGACGGUAAUGGGUAAAGAAGCACCGGCUAACUACGUG
RNAcentral lists this ribosomal RNA (468 nucleotides) under uncultured bacterium. RNAcentral's name for it is "partial 16S ribosomal RNA". It matches the Rfam family "Bacterial small subunit ribosomal RNA", at positions 28 to 507 of the family's 1533-position model. The record is from RNAcentral.